Molecule: ribosomal RNA, 465 nt
Filed under: uncultured bacterium
Lineage: Bacteria
Description: partial 16S ribosomal RNA
Rfam family: Bacterial small subunit ribosomal RNA
Source: RNAcentral
CCUACGGGUGGCAGCAGUGGGGAAUAUUGCGCAAUGGGCGAAAGCCUGACGCAGCGACGCCGCGUGAGGGAUGAAGGUCUUCGGAUCGUAAACCUCUGUCAGCAGGGAAGAACGGGCACUGUGCUAAUCAGCAGUGAAUUGACGGUACCUGCAAAGGAAGCACCGGCUAACUCCGGGCCAGCAGCCGCGGUAAUACGGAGGGUGCGAGCUUUAAUCGGAAUUACUGGGCGUAAAGCGCUCGUAGGCGGUAUGUCAAGUCAAGGGUGAAAUCCCCGCGCUUAACGUGGGAACUGCCUUUGAAACUGGCAGACUGGAGUGUGUGAGAGGAUAGUGGAAUUCCAGGUGUAGGAGUGAAAUCCGUAGAUAUCUGGAGGAACAUCAGUGGCGAAGGCGACUAUCUGGCACAUAACUGACGCUGAGGAGCGAAAGCGUGGGUAGCAAACAGGAUUAGAUACCCCUGUAGUC